RNAcentral lists this small RNA (165 nucleotides) under Bacillus methanolicus. RNAcentral describes it as "c-di-AMP sequence". It matches the Rfam family "c-di-AMP riboswitch aptamer (ydaO/yuaA leader)". Rfam says of the family: This family represents a conserved RNA structure found upstream of the ydaO and yuaA genes in Bacillus subtilis and related genes in other bacteria. The record is from RNAcentral. Lineage: Bacteria; Bacillati; Bacillota; Bacilli; Caryophanales; Bacillaceae. RNAcentral also lists the same sequence under 1 other name.
UACCUUUAGUCGCUGAAUCCUAAUAGGAACGGGGGAACCAACUGUGGUGCCUUUAGGUCCACAUGGGGUGAAUCUCCUUCAGAAUCUGCAUGGAAUCUGAAGGAGUAGGGUGACUCUCAGCACCCGAAUCCGUCAGCUAACUUCGUAAGCGUCGUGAGAGGAGGU